UUUCAGGUUUCCAACUUCAAUAGGUAAAUUACCAGUAAAGUUAUUUUUAGAUAAAUCAAGAUAAAUAGACAAUGAAGAGAGAUUUAGGACUUGUGAAGGUAUGGAACCACUUAAUUUGUUUUGAGAAAGAUCUAAUCCAAGCAAGUUUUCACAUUUGCCAAUAUUUGAUGGAAUAUUACCUGAAAGGUUGUUUUCAAAAGCAAGGAAUUGAAUUAUAUUCGUUAAGUUUCCGAUAGAGGAUGGAAUUUCUCCUGAAAACAUGUUAUUGUUCAAAGCAAACACAACUAGAUUUCGAAGUUUUCCAAUACUAUCAGGAAUAAAACCUGAAAGUUUGUUAUUCCACACCUCAAAAUCCUGCAGGCUUACAAGAUUGCCUACGUCAGAUGGAAUGUUUCCAAUUAUUUGAUUGUUAUCAAGUAAAAAUAUCAUCAAACUAGUUGAAAGAUUGCCAAUGGUUUCAGGUAUCGUUCCUCCAAAGUUAUUUCCAUUAAUGCCCAAUUCUUCUAGCACAGUGGCAUUGAGAAGAGAGAAAAGGAAACUCAAGUCAUCAGAAUCCCCAUUUCCCAGAUAGUUUGAAGUAACAGAAAAAGCACGAAGUUUAUUCAACUUUGCCAGAGAAGGAACUUGUCCAGUAAGCUUGUUUUUUAGCAAAGAAAGUAGCUGCAAAUUAGUGGCAUUAGAAAAAGAAGAAGGGAUUUGUCCAGUGAACUCAUUAGAACUAAUAGCAAAAAAUCUAAUCUUAGGAAGCGAAGAGCCUAAUUCUGAAGGAAGAUUUCCAUGGAGAUGAUUCUCUCCUAUGUCAAAUUCUGUUAUAGAGGAAAGAUUAAAGAUUGAUGAAGGGACGAUACCUGAAAGCCUAUUUGAACGUAGACUCAAGAACUGAAGAUUGGUUAACUGGCCUAAAUAGUAAGGUACAGUUCCUGCCAAGCCAUUGACAGCUAAGGAGAGUAGCAGAAGCUGUGACAAAUUUCCAAGUGAAUAAGGGAUAGUUCCUGAUAGAUUGUUUUCAAAUAAGGAAAGAACUUGAAGUUUCGAUAACGAACCCAAUUUUUCAGGAAUAUCUCCCUUCAACUUAUUAUUACCUAACCGAAUAACAAUGAGAUUUGAACAACUUGAUAUAUUACUGGGCAUUUUUCCACUUAUCGAAUUGUUAUUCAGUCUGAGUUCUUCCAGUCUUCUUAAGUGACCAAUCUGCUCCGGGAUUUGAUAGAUGAAGCUGUUGUUGUUUAAAUUCAGUAUCUUCAAGAAGGUCAAGUUGCGAAUGUAAGGUGAUAUAGAGCCAUCAAGUGCCAAGGACUGCAGGUUUAAUUCCAUGACUCGCCGGUGUGACCGACCACAGGUUAUGCCUUGCCAUUGACAGAAAUGGAUUGUAUGAUUCCAUGAGCUUAAAACCUGAAAUGGGUCUCGAGUUAUUUUGGCUUUGAAUUGAAGUAAGGCUUCGAGGUCAGUCUCAUUGCUGGUAGAAGCAAAGGCAGUAGAGGUAAAUAAAAAGAGAAGAACAUAAACAUAGAUGCAAAGAGAUGAGAAAGGAUGUAAUAGGUUGUUGUUCAUGGAGAAAUUGAAGUAAGAACUAUGAAAUAAAAGAUUGAAGAUCAUAUGAGAAGAUAAUGGAUGGAAUUGAGGUACAUUUAUUUGGUGUAUUAAGAGAAAUGCAAUAGAUACAGAGAAAACAAUGGUUCAAAAGUUUGAAUUUUCAUCCAAUUUCGCACAUUAUUUAUUUGGCAGGUGAGUGGUGUGGCACAGGACUGGAUGGAAUUGAGGUACCUUUAUUUGGUGUAUUAAGAGAAAGGCCAUAGAUACAGAGAAAACGAUGGUUCAAAAGUUUGAAUUUUCAUCCAAUUUCGCACAUUAUUUAUUUGGCAGGUGAGUGGUGUGGCACAGGACUGGAUGGAAUUGAGGUACCUUUAUUUGGUGUAUUAAGAGAAAGGCCAUAGAUACAGAGAAAACGAUGGUUCAAAAGUUUGAAUUUUCAUCCAAUUUCGCACAUUAUUUAUUUGGCAGGUGAGUGGUGUGGCACAGGACUGGAUGGAAUUGAGGUACCUUUAUUUGGUGUAUUAAGAGAAAGGCCAUAGAUACAGAGAAAACGAUGGUUCAAAAGUUUGAAUUUUCAUCCAAUUUCGCACAUUAUUUAUUUGGCAGGUGAGUGGUGUGGCACAGGACUGGAUGGAAUUGAGGUACCUUUAUUUGGUGUAUUAAGAGAAAGGCCAUAGAUACAGAGAAAACGAUGGUUCAAAAGUUUGAAUUUUCAUCCAAUUUCGCACAUUAUUUAUUUGGCAGGUGAGUGGUGUGGUACAGAUAGGACUUUUUUAAUUUCAAUUUUUGGUGUUAUCUUUAGACCCUCUGUAUUGGGUGGGUGGAGGAUCCAUAGUAGUAUCAGUUUGACAUGGGUUGACUGAUUUAGUCGCCCGUCAAUGCAUAUAAGAAUUACUGUUUAUGAGUAAGACAAGAUAUUGAAAAAUAUUAAAAUUUCGAAUGUUUAUCCAUAAAUUUUUGCAUAAAUUUUAGUUUGUAGUUCACAUGCACAAAAUAAAUCUAAAUUACAACCUAAUUUAGACUUCGAUUAAUUUUUUUUUUCUCCUAGAUACUCGAAUUAAACGUUCUUAAAUAGAUAUAAUAAUAGUUAUUUUUUCCUUUAAAAAAAAUAGUUAUUUUUUUUGUUAAAAGAGCUUUGUAUAUUUAAGGUUUAAUAAAUUUUUCAAAAACAUAUAAAAAGAAAAAAUGAAAGAACAGCUUUUGAAAAGAAAUUUCAAACCCAAAAACUAUUGGAACAAAAGAAAAAAGAGUUCCCUAGUGCUUUUAUCUGUGUUUCCACUAACACGACUGUGAAACUUUUUUUCAACAAUCGUAAGUGCUCCACUUAAGCAGAUAAUGGACAAUCUUUAUAGCAAUUAAUUAUUGAUCAUAUGGAAAGACUUAAGAGAAGAAUGAGUUUCCUAUACUACAACUAAUGAAAUUGUUCAGGUAAAUUAUAAGAUUUUUUUUUAUUUUUUUGAAAAUGAUUAUUUGAUGAAAUUUUAUUUGAAAAUGAUUAUUUGAUAAUUUGACUUCAAUAAAGUACAAAAAAUAUAAAUGACUUUAACAAAAUUUCUCCAAAAACUGUCAACAACACUUGCAUCAAUUUUAGCUACAACAGCUAUAGCUGUAACUUUAACACUCCUCCUUGAUGCAAGAGUUGAGACAAACACCAAGUCUAUUCCUAAGAAAUUCAAAUCUUGGUUUUUGCAAUGCCUUGGUGAAAAUAUCUACUGUUUGGUCUUCAGAACUGCAAUGAACAACCUAAAUUUUAUUUUCCUUUUCAGCUUCACGUAUUGCAUGGUACUUGAUUUUUUAUACUUGGUUUUUCUAUGUAAGAUUGGAUUCUUAACUAUAGUAACAGCUGAUUUGUUGUCACAAAGUAUUUUAGUUGGAUUCUCUUGGUGAAAAUUCAUAAUCAUCUUCAACUCCUCCUCCAUCGCAGCUUUCCACUCAGGCAAUUUUAAGGCUUCAUCCACUUGAGUUGGUUCAAGUGAGACAACAUUACAUCUGCUGUAAAUUUCAUCUAGGGAUCUAGUCCCUCUAAUUGCAUAAUCAUCUUCAUUUGAUUCUUUUUCAUUAUCAACAGGAAGUUCUUGCUCUUGCUGGAAAUGAUCUUGUUCAAGAACUGAUUUAGAAUUUCUUGGCUCCAUUUUACUCCAAUCCCAUUCUCAUCGAAUUUGACACUCCUGCUGACAUACACCUGUUUAGUAACAGGAUCCAAAAUUCUGUAGGCUUUGGAUUCAUUGUUAUUUUUAACUACAGAUGGCAAAUCAGCAACUAACUUCUUGGAUUACAGCAAUUUUAAUGAAUUGAGAUUAGUAUGACCAAGUCUCUUAUGCCACAAAUCAGAGUCUUCUUUAUGACUCAAGCAAGAUUCUUCUUCGAAGUUUCUUAAGUUUAGAGGAAAGCUUCUCCGUUUCAUUUUGACAGCAAAUAACUUUGAGCCAGAAGGAUCACUUAUUUCACAAGUUUUAUCUUUAAAUAGCAAACUGUAAUUCUUAUCCAGCAAUUGACCAACCGAAAACAAGCUUUGAUUUAGUUUCGGUACGUAAAGAACAUUGGAAACAAGCUUUGUACUUGAAGGAGUUUGUACAAUCACAUCUCCUUUGCCUUUAACAUCAACAAGCCUACCAUCUCCAAGUCUAACUUUUGAAGAAUAGUUUGUAUCCAAGCUAUCGAAAUUCACCAAAUUUGGUGUCAUAUGGUUAGUGCAGCCACUAUCAACAAGCCAUGCUUCUUUAGCUUCAAUUGAGACACCACAUUUUUCAAUUUCACUUGCAGCAAAUAGUUGUUCUUCAUACUUUUCAGAAUUUUCGGUGACUUGUGCAUGAUAGGCUUGUGUUUAUUGAUUCUGGUUUGUAGAACAAACUUUCUCGGUGUGACCAAAUUGCUUACAAACCUUACAUUGAGCUCCAGGUUUGAAUUAGCAGUAGUUCUCAGUGUGGUUUGGUUUUUCGCAAUGUGGACAAGGUGGAAAUCUGUCCUUCCUCCAAUUUUUCUGAAAUUCUUCUUCAUUUUUGGUUGUUGAGUCACUACAAGAGCCUUCUCUCCAAAAGUUUCUUCUUCCCUAUAGGCUUUUCUUUGUUCUACAGCUUGUAGAGCAUUUGAAAGCACAUUCAAGGAUAUUUGUGACAUGUCCCAAGUUUCUUCAAGAGAAGAAAUCUUGGCUUCAAAUUUUUCAGGGAGAGUCACCAUAACUUUCUCCACAAUUCUCUUCUCUUCUAACUCUUCUCCCAACAAUCGAAUUUGGUUUACAAUUUUCAUAACUCUAUCAAUAUAAUCUUUUACCUUUUCAUUGUCCUUCGUUUUCAACAUUUCAAAUUCUUUUCUUAAAUUAAAUAUCUGCAUCUGUCUAGUUUUUUCAGAUCCAUGAUACUCAAUUUUUAACUUCUCCCAAGCUUCAUGUGCUGUCUCACAUCCCAUAAUCUUGGUGAAGACAGGAUCUGCAACAGCUGCAUGGAUAUAGGACAGAGCUUUUGGAGCCUUAGCAACCUCUUCUUCAUGUUGUCUAAUCUGCUGAAGGGUUGGAUUUUGAUUAAGAGGUGGAGGUACUCUGUUUUCCUCCACAUACUGCCAUAAUGCAAGCCCUUUAAAAUAAGCUCUCAUCUUCUUAGCCCAAACAUGAUAGUUUUCCCCAUUAAAAUGAGGUGGUGAAAGAGACAUGUUGCUGGAAGCCGUUUGAGGAAAAGCAAAUAAACAAAAAACUUCACAAAUUCUGGUUUAUUUGGUGGCUUUCACUAUGAUUUUCACUCAAAUACACACACACAGCCCUUUGAGAUCAAGGUUACUCUGACACCACUUGUUGGUUUAGAAGAGCAGAAAAAUUAAGAAAGAGAAGGAAAAAUCUGCAAAGAAGGAAAAAUCUACAGAUUUUGUAAGUGUGGAGAAACAAGUAUUCACCUCUCAUUUUUUUCAUUACAGCAUAAUGUAAAUAUUUAUACUAAACUUAUUCUAAAGUUUGUUCACCAACCUUCCAUAAGUCAAGGAAGGUUGUUCACCAAACCUACCUAAAAGUAAGGUAAUUCAAUUACUUCUUGACUUCAAUAAAGUACAAAAAAUCUAAAUGACUUUAACAAAAUUUCUCCAAAAAUUGUCAACAUCACUUGCAUCAAUUUUAGCUUCAAGAGCUAUAGCUAUAACUUUAACAACAACUAUAAUUGACAGUAAAAGAGCCACAUGAAAAUUAUAAAUGUAAUAGUUAUUGGAUUUUCAUUCAAUAAUCCUCCUUGAAUAUUAGGCCCAUAAUCCUAAAACUCUUUCCUUAAUUUCAUUUUUACUAGUUAUCAUGAUCUUUUCAUUCCUUCUCUCUUUCUUCUAAUAAUAUAAUGCAAUAUGAAGCCAUUUUCGUAACCCAAAUACAUAUAUAUAUGAAGCAUAACUAGAACAAGCUUUUACCCUUCCAACUGCCAAGACAAUUCAAUCUAGACAUAAUUGACAAAUGGCCUUUUCUAUAUCCUACUUUCCUAUUUCUUUUACAUCUGCUACCCUUUUCAGGCUCCUUGUUGAGAAUGAUAUAAAGCGAGAACAAAUUCUCAUUUUACUAUCGUUAAUGGCUACUGCAUGUGGAUUAUUUUCAUUGCUACUCCUGAUUUUGGCUAUCUCUGCAAAAACCAUUGAAGCCUCCACUUUCCGACCUAAACGAUCAGUCACUAAAUUGAUUCACCACGAUUCCAUUCUCUCACCAUAUUACAACCCAAAUGACACUAUUGCAGACCGAACAGAACGAACUAUGAAAGCCUCAGCUACCUGGAUGGCUUACUUGUAUGCGCAGAUUGCAAGAAAUAAAUGCAGAAAUGAUCUUCAGCUAAAUCUCGUUCCUAGUGUCUUUGAACCCUUGUUCAUGGUGAGUUUCUCCAUCGGACAACCACCUGUUCCACAAUUACCAAUAAUGGACACAGGCAGUAGUCUCUUAUGGGUACAAUGAGCACCCUGCAAACGUUGUUUACAACAGCCUGGUUCAUUACUAGACCCCUCCAAAUCUUCUACUUAUGCUACCUUGUCAUGUAGGGACACUGUGUGCCGCGAUGCCCCAGGCAGCAAAUGCAACUGGUUGAAUCAGUGCAUGUACAACCAAACUUACGUGGGAAGUCUGCCGUCCGUCGGAGUUCUUGCCACUGAACAAAUCAUCAUUCACAAUUCAGAUGGAAGCACAAAUGCUGUGCCUUAUGUGGUAUUCGGAUGCAGCCAUGAGAAUGGCAAUUAUAGAGACCGGCGUUUCACUGGCAUAUUUGGUCUAGGCAAUGGAAUCACAUCUUUUGUAACUCAAAUGGGUUCUAAGUUUUCUUAUUGCAUAGGCAACAUUGCUGAUUCUCACUAUAAAUAUAACCAGUUGGUCAUCGGCGAUGGUGCAAAUAUUGAAGGUUCUUCAACACCUUUAGAAGUAGUUGCUGGCCAUUACUGUGUUACUCUGGAAGGCAUUAGUGUUGGGGAAAAAAGGCUCAACAUAGAUUCUACUGCAAUUAGAAGUAAAAGGAAAGGACAAGCUGUAAUAAUUGAUUCUGGAACUGCACUAACCUGGUUGGCCAAAAAUUUAUAUAGAGCGCUUGGUGAUGAAGUUCAGUCUCUCUUGGAUAGAGUCCUUAUACCAUUUUGGCGAGAGUCAUUUCUCUGUUACAAGGGAAGAGUGGACCAGGACCUUACUGGGUUUACUUUAGUGACAUUUCACUUCGCAGGAGGAGCAGAUUUAGAGUUGGACAGUGAAAGCAUGUUCUAUCAAGCCACACCAUAUGUACUUUGCAUGGCCAUGAGACAAGCCAGCACCAACAGCAAUAAUUUUACAGAUUUUUCUGUAGUUGGGUUAAUGGCUCAGCAAUACCAUAAUAUGGGUUAUGAUCUUGAUAAACAUGAGUUAUUCUUCCAGAGGAUUGAUUGCGAACUCCUAGUUGACUGAAUCUGUCAUCACAGGCUUCACAAAUCAUACAUAGAACAUAAAUGCAUACAUUGGUUUGCAAGUCCUUUGUUCUAUUAUUUGUGACGUUCGCAAAUCAUUGCUUGGUAAUAGCUCUUGCUCUAGCUUCUAGUAGUCAUGGUAUUACAACAACAACCAUCAGUGGCACAAAACUGAAAAAUUAUGCAUUGCAGAGUUUUCCUUGAUCAAUACCUCCUUUUUUUUUUUUAAACUUCUACUUGUACUUAUCAAAAGUUGGCAAGGAAAUUGUGUCAUUUAAAAAGUAACUACUCCUAAGGGGUGGUAUACUCAUUUCAAUACAAUGACUUAUCUAUUUCUUGUCUUCACAAACUUGGCUCGUGAAGCUUUCUUCUCCAGUUUCUCCCUCUUUUUGCGAGUCUUUUCGUCCUCCAUAUCUCCCUGGUUAACAGAGGAUAAUAGAUCUUACGAAAAUGCCUUUAAUACCUUUGAAAAUGAUUAGAACUGGAGAAGAAAAUGUACCUCAGAGCUUUGUGAUAAAAAUCCUCUAAUGAAUCCAAAAGAUUUGUAUGCUCCAAAUGCUGGUAUCUGAAAAGCAUUAAGGAAGUGUAACUCCACCACGUAUCAAAUAUCAUGCUAACUGAUCUCAUACAUGCUAUUUGUUAGGAGGCAAUCCAAAUAUAAGAACAAAUGUCUCAAUAAGUACAAGCAAGGAAAACCGAUCUAUGUAAAUGCUUUAUCAACCUACCAAUUAAGUAGUUAUUGCUGAUAAACAUCAGAUUCAAGCAAAUAUUUUACAGUUCAAUAACUCCACCUUGGUUUUUUCAUAGAAUAUAAUUCUUCACUCCCAAAAUUAUAAUCUAGUUUGACUUUAAUACGGAGAUUAGGAAAAUUCUUUUGAAUGAAUUAUGUUUUGUUAGUUUACUAACUUUAUCCUUUAGUGUAUAGAUGUACAGAAAUCAAGGUAAACUAUUUGAAGGGUAUUAUUCACAAAAAUAACCUUUAGACUUAUUGAUUUACUAAACUAAAUAUCUAGACAAUUAAUUUGGGACACCCCAAAUAAGUGACAUGGGCCGUUAUUUUGGAAUAGAGGGAAAGGUUUAUCAGAUAUUUUUCUCCUAAGUGUAGGGAUAUACAGUAUGACUAAUUCUCUGAAUAGAAAUAUAGCAUGACCCUUGGACAUUGCCAAUCUAAAAUAUUUCUAUAAAUACAUAUAUAAACUUAUCCAGAAAAAGUCAUUAACUUGCACUUGCAUUUGUGCCAGUACACAUGCAUAUACAUUUUCUAUCACUCCCUCAGUAUGGAAGCAAAGAUUCAAAACUUCAUUAAAAGGAGUCGAUUGCUUCCUUUACUAAUAUGUUAAAGCUUGCUAAUCUGAAUAUCAAGAAGUAGAAGAUAUUUUCAGGUUCAUUUAGUAUAUCUUAGGAGCAUAUAGAAACAAACAAGAACUACUGUUUUUCCAAUUCGAAUAAAGGAGAGUUGAAUUCCCUAGCAGAAGUAUACAUACUCUGGGCACCAUAACUCUUUCGAAAACAAAUUGGUAUACGAUUUCGUCCUUUACUAGCCUCUAAGGUGUAAUUUCCAAAGCAAGCUAUGAGUGUUGCCCUGUACAUCUAGAUGCAAUUUUACAAAAGGAUUAAUCUAUGGGAUCUUACCAGCAGGUAUGUGUACCAAAAUUUUCCAGAGAUAUGGAUGUGAUUUGCACGAAGCUUGUAAUGUAGAUAACAUCAUGCAGAUAGCUGCAAAAAAUUACCAACAGGGACACAACAGUAUUAUUUAUUUAUACCACAUGCCAAAAACUAGAAAUCUACACCAAAAAAAAAAAAAUCAUUAGAGAAGGAUCAACUCUCAUUAUUUUAUUCUGGAAUAUAGUCCAAAGUGAAGAAAUUCCCCUUUCGUAUAAUAAUUAGGUAAGAAUAGUCCCAAGUCUUUAUAUAUUGUUCACUUGCUACCAGUGGUGGUCCAUACAACAAACAUUUGUUACUACACACAAUAAGAAAUACAAGAUAAAUUUAAUCACAUGGGUGGUAUAAAGGAAUAGAAGAACAUUUCCAUCAUCUUAAUUGAUUAUCCACAUACUUAUCUUAGAUGAGGAUAGCAUAUCCUCCUUUGUUAUCAACCUCUUGUUUAUAUUCUUUAUAAAUCCUCGUUCAUGUGCAAUUCUUGAUCUAAUUAUCAAAUUUGAUUACCAUAUCAACUCAGUGCCAUUUUGCAACAUAGCCAACAGGCAAAUGCGGAACUCUAGCAGAUUAUAAACAUCCUAAGAAAAUAAUAUGUUAAAAAAUAAACAAAUAUUUUUUAAAUAAACAAAGAAAAGAAUAGAUUUAAAAAAAUCUGGAAAUUUAGGCAUACUGCUGUACCCAUUAUCUUGAUUGAAAGAGGCGCAGAGAAUGGAGGAGUUAGAGGACUGGCUAGUCAUUGUUGGAAUUGUUGGUGGGAUCGUUGGGGAAGAAGAUAAAAUUUAACUUAUAUACCUUUAGGUCCGGCUUGAACUAGAAGAGAACAGAAAACGGAAUGUAUCGAAAUAGACAGCGUUAUGGGAGAUGAUGGUUAGCCAGAUCGUGAGCCGUUAAUGUAUUCUGUGAUUGGCUAGAUCGUGACUGAUUAGGAAACUGUAUAAAAAAGAAGGCCGAGUUAUAGAAUAAACAACAAUCUUUUAAAAGUUUUUAAAUUUUGGUCAAUUGUUUUAAUUUUAUUAAUUUUUCUCUAAUUUUCAGAAUUUAUUUUCCCUAAAUUAGCGACAGAAAAUUAAUAGCUAAAUAGGUGAAAGGUGGUUGCUAAAAAUAGUCAAAUCCGUCGCUAAAAUAUUUUUUGUGAAUUUUUAAAUAUUAAUUUUAGGCUGUCACUGAUUAGUCUAAUCGGUUCAAUUUUUUAUUUCAUAUUUAUUUAUUUGGUAGCUAAUCAAUAUAUUCAGUGGCAAAAUUUUUAAUUAAGUUAAUUAAUUUGCGUAUUUAGUAGCAAAGCCAUGUCAAUUUGAUUUCACAAGAAUUUCUAAAAAUUUACCUGUUGAAAGCCACAAUACAUUAUAACCAUUCUGCAAUUCCCCANNNNNNNNNNNNNNNNNNNNNNNNNNNNNNNNNNNNNNNNNNNNNNNNNNNNNNNNNNNNNNNNNNNNNNNNNNNNNNNNNNNNNNNNNNNNNNNNNNNNNNNNNNNNNNNNNNNNNNNNNNNNNNNNNNNNNNNNNNNNNNNNNNNNNNNNNNNNNNNNNNNNNNNNNNNNNNNNNNNNNNNNNNNNNNNNNNNNNNNNNNNNNNNNNNNNNNNNAACUUGUUCUUGCAUUAUGCACUUCAUUUCCAACAAGUUUGUCUUUGAUUGAAGCGAGCUGUCGUAUGACAUCAGGAAUGCUCAUUCUUUCGCUUGGUGAUGCAACAGAACAAUCGACUCUAAUUUGAAAUAUUGAAAUCAAGCACUCUACUGAUACAUUACUAAUUGCUUCAACUUUUUCUGAAACAAGAACCGGAUCCACCACCUCCACCACAUUAUUACGCAAAGCAACCUUGACAAAGUUAUGAAGAUUAAAAGAUCCGUUAAAGAUUUCAUCGGUAGGCCUCUUUCCUGUGAACAUUUCCAAUAAGAGAAUUCCAUAACUGUACACAUCACCGUAUGUGGAUACCUCAUUACCCAUUCCACAUUCUAAAAUUUAUUCAAAAGAAUUAUUGGUUAAGAGAAUAUAAAGUUGCAUAAGACGAUGAUAGAGUUACACUAUUAAUUAGAACAUUAUAGUUUUAUGUAAAAUCAAGAUUACCUGGAGGAGCAUACCCAACUGUUCCUCUUACUCCAGUAGAACUUGAUUCACUAUUGUGAUAGAUUGCUUCGAGAGGAAGGAAUCUAGCGAGCCUGAAAUCACUAACAUGUCCUGUCAGUUCAUUGUCAAGAAGAACAUUGCUCGGUUUUAAAUCACGAUGAACAAUUGGUAUUUCGCAAUUAUUGUGGAGAUAAUCAAGAGCAGAAGCAACAUCAAUAGUAAUAUUUAGUCUAUGAAGAAUGUUCAAUUUCUUUGUUGCCUCACUUUCUUCAUUUGUGCUUACAGUUGGAUGCAACCAGUCAUCUAAGCUUGCAUUAACCAUAAACUCAUAAACCAAAGCCUUAAAAUCAUUUCCAUGGUGAUCUACACUUGAACAAGCAGUUAGUACUUUAACAAGAUUCCUGUGUCUAAUACUUCUUAAGGCUUCACAUUCAGCAAGAAAACUCUUGAAAGCUCCGCGUCGCAUAAGGUUAAACACCUUGACAGCAAUUAAGGUUGCUCCACCAUCAAGUGUUCCCUUAUAAACAGAACCAAAAUUUCCCAUACCAAUCAAAUUAUCAGAAGAGAAUCCAUUUGUAGAUUUAUGCAGAGUUCGAUAAGAUAAUUCCAAAAUUUUCUUAUCUGAAAAAUUGGAAGCAGCAGGUUCCUUUCUUAUCUUUUGCUUAAGCCUCAGAAGAAACAGAACUGAUAAUACCAAUAAGGCUCCUACAAUCACAGAAAUAAUAGCAACCACUAACUUCAAUGUAGGAGUCAAUCUAUUUUUCUUAUGCCUUAGGCACUUAGGCAAAUGAAACUUAGGUAUGCCUCCACAAAGCAUAUUAUUUCAUAAGACGAUGAUAGAGUUACACUAUUAAUUAGAACAUUAUAGUUUUAUGUAAAAUCAAGAUUACCUGGAGGAGCAUACCCAACUGUUCCUCUUACUCCAGUAGAACUUGAUUCACUAUUGUGAUAGAUUGCUUCGAGAGGAAGGAAUCUAGCGAGCCUGAAAUCACUAACAUGUCCUGUCAGUUCAUUGUCAAGAAGAACAUUGCUCGGUUUUAAAUCACGAUGAACAAUUGGUGUUUCCCAAUUAUUGUGGAGAUAAUCAAGAGCAGAAGCAACAUCAAUAGUAAUAUUUAGUCUAUGAAGAAUGUUCAAUUUCUUUGUUGCCUCACUUUCUUCAUUUGUGCUUACAGUUGGAUGCAACCAGUCAUCUAAGCUUGCAUUAACCAUAAACUCAUAAACCAAAGCCUUAAAAUCAUUUCCAUGGUGAUCUACACUUGAACAAGCAGUUAGUACUUUAACAAGAUUCCUGUGUCUAAUACUUCUUAAGGCUUCACAUUCAGCAAGAAAACUCUUGAAAGCUCCGCGUCGCAUAAGGUUAAACACCUUGACAGCAAUUAAGGUUGCUCCACCAUCAAGUGUUCCCUUAUAAACAGAACCAAAAUUUCCCAUACCAAUCAAAUUAUCAGAAGAGAAUCCAUUUGUAGAUUUAUGCAGAGUUCGAUAAGAUAAUUCCAAAAUUUUCUUAUCUGAAAAAUUNNNNNNNNNNNNNNNNNNNNNNNNNNNNNNNNNNNNNNNNNNNNNNNNNNNNNNNNNNNNNNNNNNNNNNNNNNNNNNNNNNNNNNNNNNNNNNNNNNNNNNNNNNNNNNNNNNNNNNNNNNNNNNNNNNNNNNNNNNNNNNNNNNNNNNNNNNNNNNNNNNNNNNNNNNNNNNNNNNNNNNNNNNNNNNNNNNNNNNNNNNNNNNNNNNNNNNNNNNNNNNNNNNNNNNNNNNNNNNNNNNNNNNNNNNNNNNNNNNNNNNNNNNNNNNNNNNNNNNNNNNNNNNNNNNNNNNNNNNNNNNNNNNNNNNNNNNNNNNNNNNNNNNNNNNNNNNNNNNUAGAAAUAUAGGAAUUGUGAAGGUAUGGAGCCACUAAAUUUGUUUUGAGAAAGAUCUAAUGCAAGCAAGUUUUCACAUUUGCCAAUAUUUGAUGGAAUACUACCUGAAAGGUUGUUUUCAGAAGCGAGGAAAUGAAUUAUGUUCGUUAAGUUUCCGAUAGAGGAUGGAAUUUCUCCUGAAAACAUGUUAUUGUGCAAAGCAAACACAACUAGAUUUCGAAGUUUUCCAAUACUAUCAGGAAUAAAACCUGAAAGAUUGUUAUUCCACACCUCAAAAUCCUGCAGGCUUACAAGAUUGCCUACGUCAGAUGGAACGUUUCCAAUUAUUUGAUUGUUAUUAAGUGCAAAUAUCACCAAACUAGUUGAAAGAUUGCCAAUGGUUUCAGGUA
This 13372-nucleotide long non-coding RNA is filed under the name Jatropha curcas. RNAcentral's name for it is "long non-coding RNA (JCUR_LNC001190)". The record is from RNAcentral. Lineage: Eukaryota; Viridiplantae; Streptophyta; Magnoliopsida; Malpighiales; Euphorbiaceae.